AAAUGAAUUCAAAUGUCUGGUAAUUCAAUUUAUCCAAGCUUGAAAGGAGUGAAACAAUAAAUUUCGGAGUUAAAGCUCCCCCUUUCAUUUGGAAUUAUAUAAGCCUUCAUAUUAUGCAUUCAAUUGUUUGGCUUAUAUAUAAUUAAUGAUUUAGCUUUCUUAAAAUUUCAGAUUCUCCCCCUCAACAUAUGCAUUCUACUUUGUUUUGAUUCUUUGAAUUUCCUUUUAAUGCUUUGAAGUUUUUGAACUGAAAUUUUGGUUUUUAUAGGAAAAAUCUGUCAAUUUGUUCUUGAGUAGGAUUCAGCUAAUCUCCGAAUAUCCCUUGAAUAGGUUCUGGAGAUUACUCCAUUAGGAGCCCCAAAAGAGAGAUAAUGAGCCUCGAGGUACCGAAUCCACUUAGAACAAAUUUGUGUGUUUUAAGAGUUUAUCUUUUUAUUGAUUUCCAUUGAUUCCUUUUACAUAUUUUAUACAUAUUUCUCCCCCUUUUUGUCACCAUAUCAAAAAGGAGGUAAACAGAACACACAAUCAAACAUAGAUCAAAAGGCACAUUAUUGAAGAAAAAUGCGGCUACUCAUUGUAUUAAUUUGUAUGUAAGUACAUUUCAGAAUACAAUAAGUAACGUAAAGCAAUACAUGUCAAAGCAAAAUACAAAAAGUAGCUAUGGUCUCCUCGAGGAUGUA
RNAcentral lists this long non-coding RNA (680 nucleotides) under Phoenix dactylifera (date palm). RNAcentral's name for it is "long non-coding RNA (PDAC_LNC018884)". Lineage: Eukaryota; Viridiplantae; Streptophyta; Magnoliopsida; Arecales; Arecaceae. The record is from RNAcentral.